This 534-nucleotide ribosomal RNA is filed under the name Caloneis amphisbaena. RNAcentral describes it as "eukaryotic LSU rRNA". It matches the Rfam family "Eukaryotic large subunit ribosomal RNA", at positions 43 to 651 of the family's 3401-position model. The record is from RNAcentral. Lineage: Eukaryota; Bacillariophyta; Bacillariophyceae; Sellaphorales; Pinnulariaceae.
UUAUUAGGCAGAGGAAAAGGAACAAACUUGGAUUAGCGUAGUAAGGGCGACUGAAGUGCUAGAAGCUCAUUUUGAUAAUUGGCACACUAGUUGUGUUGAGUUGUGAUAUUGAGGGUUGUGAUCAUGCAGACAAAUUAAAUCUUUGGAACAGGAGAGUGAAAUGGGUGAUACUCCCGUACAUUUGUUAGCUGUAACAUGACCUUUGGAGUAGAGUUGUUUGAGAUUGCAGCUCUAAGUUGGUGGUAAAUUCCACCAAAAGCUAAAUAUUUGAGGAAGAUCAAUAGCUUACAAGUACCAUGAGGGAAAGAUGCAAAGAACUUUGAAAAGAGAGUGAAAGAGUAUCUGAAAUUGUUGUUGGGAACGAAGAGUGGUUUAGUGUUCAAAAAGCUAUAUUUCUUUGUCCUUUUUAAGGAUGGAGCACUGUGGUUUUUGUUGUGAGCAACUGUUGAGACAGAUGGAAGGAUUUUCAUGCUGUUAGCUGAUUUAUCUGCACCUGUCUCGACACGUGUUCACGAAAUGAACUUCUCUUCCCCG